UACGUAGGCAGCGAGCGUUGUUCGGAAUUACUGGGCGUAAAGAGUGUGUAGGCGGUGCUUUAAGUUCGGUGUGAAAUCUCCCGGCUUAACUGGGAGGGUGCGCCGGAAACUGGAGUGCUCGAGCGUGGGAGAGGAAAGCGGAAUUCCUGGUGUAGCGGUGAAAUGCGUAGAUAUCAGGAGGAACACCUGCGGUGUAGACGGCUUUCUGGACCAUUGCUGACGCUGAGACACGAAAGCGUGGGUAGCAAACAGG
RNAcentral lists this ribosomal RNA (253 nucleotides) under uncultured bacterium. RNAcentral describes it as "partial 16S ribosomal RNA". It matches the Rfam family "Bacterial small subunit ribosomal RNA", at positions 524 to 776 of the family's 1533-position model. The record is from RNAcentral.